CUCAGGCCGCAGGGUGGGCGGCCCGGCAGCGGCGCGCAGAGGAGCGCCCUUGGCGCGGGCCGUCCGCCAGGGCAGGCUGGGAGAAGGGGCUGGAGCAUCAUCCCCCGCGGGAAGCACAUUCCAGGCGGGCUUGAGGGCGUGUCCGCACUGUUACCUCCGAACUCGGGGUGCUGCGCGCGAUCCACCGCACGGCGGCUGCGACCGGCACCUCUUCGCGCAGCAGCGACUCUAAAACGGCCGCCAUCCCUGUGCAGGCGCUCGGAGGCUACUGCGCAGGCGCACACGCGCCGCCGCCGGCCGGGAGGGGCGGGGCGGGUGGCCCGAGCGACCGUUGGAUGACGGGGUGGGGCUUUGGCGGCCCGCGAAGAUCCGCCCAGCCGGCCAGGCCUGCAGGGCGCCCGGGCGCCUUUUCCCUGACUGCCCGGCCCCUGGAGCAAUGUGAUAAGAUUGAACUGCUGUGCGCUCUGUGGAGAGCCGGUCCGAAAGAGAGGCCAGACAGGAAAAGUGACCAACUCCAGAAGAAACCAGCCUAUCAGACCAGAUAUCUGCCGUAAACCCAGCCUUAGACCUAACACCGACUGUAGAGCUUUUUGAGUCACUCCCUCCUCAACCAAAAUAAAGUUUUCCAGUAUAGCCCACACCGAUAUUCAAGAACUCAGUAUGUAACCCAGGCCAGGCCUGCCUCAGCUUCCCAUGUAUAGACAGGAGCCUAGCAUAACUGUCUCCUCAGAGGCUUCAUCCAGCAGCAGAUGGAAGCAGAUGCAGAGACCCACAGCCAAACAUCAGGGAGCUCAGGAAGUCUAGUGGGAGAAUGGGGGACAGAAGUGGACAAGUUGGAGGUGUCAAGGAACCACAAGAAGACCCACAGAGCCAACUAACCUGGGACCGUGGGGACUCAGAGAGGGGACUAUCAACCAGGGAGUGUGCAAAAGCUGAACGUAGACCCCCUACACAUUUAUAGCAAAUGUGCAGCUUGGUUUUCAUGUGGGUCCCCUAACAAGCCAAGCAGGGGCUCUCCCAGUCUUUGCUCCCUCCCAUUGGAUCCCCUUCCUCCUACCUGGGACAGCUUGGUUGGGCCUCAGUGGGAGAGGAUGUACUUAGUCCUGCUGGGACUAGAUGUCCCA
Mastomys coucha (southern multimammate mouse) is the source of this 1124-nucleotide long non-coding RNA. RefSeq lists it as uncharacterized. The record is from RefSeq and is a predicted model, not a curated record. The transcript has 3 exons. NCBI's taxonomy places the organism in Eukaryota, Metazoa, Chordata, Mammalia, Rodentia, Muridae.